RNAcentral lists this ribosomal RNA (482 nucleotides) under uncultured bacterium. RNAcentral describes it as "partial 16S ribosomal RNA". It matches the Rfam family "Bacterial small subunit ribosomal RNA", at positions 28 to 507 of the family's 1533-position model. The record is from RNAcentral.
GAUGAACGCUAGCGGCAGGCCUAAUACAUGCAAGUCGGACGGGAUUCAGGAGCUUGCUUCUGAUGAGAGUGGCGCACGGGUGCGUAACACGUAUGUAACCUACCUUUAUCAGGGGGAUAGCCUCUCGAAAGAGAGAUUAAGCCCGCAUAAAAUCACAGCACAGCAUUGUGUAAUGAUCAAAUAUUUAUAGGAUAAUGAUGGGCAUGCGGAACAUUAGCUAGAUGGCGGGGUAACGGCCCACCAUGGCGACGAUGUUUAGGGGAUCUGAGAGGAUGGCCCCCCACACUGGUACUGAGACACGGACCAGACUGCUACGGAGGGCAGCAGUAAGGAAUACUGGUCAAUGGGCGGAAGCCUGAACCAGCCAUGCCGCGUGCAGGAAGACGGCCCUAUGGGUUGUAAACUGCUUUUAUACGGGAAUAAACCCAGAUACGUGUAUUUGGCUGAAUGUACUGUAAGAAUAAGGAUCGGCUAACUCCGUG